Oncorhynchus keta (chum salmon) is the source of this 2816-nucleotide long non-coding RNA. RefSeq lists it as uncharacterized. Lineage: Eukaryota; Metazoa; Chordata; Actinopteri; Salmoniformes; Salmonidae. The record is from RefSeq and is a predicted model, not a curated record. The transcript has 2 exons.
CGUAGAGCACCCGGGUUGCACAUGAAACCUAAACUGUGUUAUGCGACUCUCAUUUGUUUAUUUGUGACGUCCAGUCAUUUGAAUUUAUGACAGGUGGACUCCAAUCAAGUUUUAGAAACGUCAAUGAUGAGCAAUGGAAACGGGAUGCACCUGAGCUCAAUUUCGAGUCUCAUCGCAAAGGGUCUGAAUACUUAUAUAAAUAAGACACAAUUGAGAGCAUCCUGUCGAGCUGUAUCACAGCCUGGUAUGGCAACUGCACCGCCCACAACCGCAGAGCUCUCCAGAGGGUGGUACCAUGCAUCACCAUGGGCAAACUACCUGCCCUCCAGGACAACUACAGCACCCGUUGUCAGAGGAGGGCCAAAAAGAUCAUUAAGGACAACAACCACCCGAGCCACUGCCUGUUCACCCCGCUACCAUCCAGAAGGCGAGGUCAGUACAGGUGCAUCAAAGCUGGGACCGAGAGACUGAAAAACAGCUUCUUUCUCAAGGCCAUCAGACUGUUAAAACAGCCAUCACUAGCACAGAGAGGCUGCUGCCUACAUACAGACUUUAAAUCAUUGGCAACUUUAAUUUAUGGAACACUAAUCACUUUAAAAAUGCCACUUUAAUAAUGUUUACAUAUCUUGCAUUACUCAUCUCAUAUGCAUAUACGGUAUUCUAUACUAUCUAUUGCAUCUUAGCCUAUGCCCCUCUGUUCUUGCUCAUCUAUAUAUUUCUAUUUCUAUAUUCUUAUUCCAUUCCAUUCCUUUUCCAUUAGGUAUUUUUUUCCACCUUUAUUUAACCAGAUAGGCUUGUUGAGAACAAGUUCUCAUUUACAACUGCGACCUGGCCAAGAUAAAACAUAGCAGUGUGAACAGACAACAACACAGAAUUACACAUGGAGUAAACAAUAAACAAGUCAAUAACACAGUAGAAUGAAAAAAGAGUCUAUAUACAUUGUGUGUUGUGGAAUUGUUAGAUAUUACUUGUUAGAUAUCGGAACUAGAGGCACAAGCAUUUCUCUACACUCGCAAUAACAUCUGCUAACCAUGUUUGUAACUGUGUAUGUGGCCAACAACAUGUCAUUUGAUUUGAGAUGUUUGAGAAGGCAUGCAAAAUUUACAAAGAAUAGGGAGAUUUGAUUAACCAAUGUCAAGUCCUAGCUGACGGAGCUCAGAUAAACCCCCUUCCUCUGAAACACACACACACGCUGGUCCUCCGUUGUGACCAUUUUCUGAAGUAUGUCUAUGCAGUCAGACCUUUGAUUAUUUUGUGCCAACAAGGCCACAAUAAUUUGCCCCCUCUCUGAUUGUCCAAGGGUUGCCAGCAAUGCAACCGCUUGGGUGGGGUCACCCCACCAGAAUUCCCACUGGCUUGGUACAAGGUCAUCAAGGUUCGCAUUGGCAGCUUUGAGAAAUUCCUUGUAUAUUAUACUCACCCAUCUGGGGGCUGUGGCUUUGUCGGACCAACCCUGCCAGGCAGGCUCAGAGUCUUGAGGGGCGGUGCUGCUUUAGUGGGUCUCUGAAUAUAUUUAUCUUUCUGUCUUGGCUGCGUAUAGGCUACUUGCAGUAGGCCUAUAAAACAGAUAAGGACUUCUCCUUAGUGUAUGUCUCGCUCAGGUUGGUGUCUAGAGUAUAGGGUUGGGGACCGUUCCAUCAUGAUAGGACAAUAAAUAAAUUAACUGCAUUUAUAAUUUAUUUUGAAAUGUAUAUCCCAUAUCUCCACAAAAUGUAAAGCUCUCUCUGUCACAACUCCUUCUCGUAGACACACAUGGGCUCUGGCAUUCUUUUUCCACCCACUUAACUCCACACUUUUCCAAACACAAAAACAUCCCUCCCCACCUUCCAUCACAAUAUACCCACACAAACCCACAUACUGUGCCUUAUAUAUCCUCUGUUUGCUGUGUUUUUAUCCCUACUGUGAUUUGGUUGAUUCCUAAUUUCAGGCUUUUGAGUACUUUUGUGUUCCAGGGGCUCGCGAGUGGCGCAGCGGUUUAAGGAACUGCAUCCCAGUACUAGAGAUGUCACUACAGACCCUGGUUUGAUUCAAGGCUGUUUCACAACCGUCCGUGAUUGGGAGACCCAUAGGGUGGCGCACAAUUGGCCGCGUGUCGUCCAGGUUACGGGUUGGCUGGGGUAAGCAGUCAUUAUAAAAAUGAAUUUGUUCUUAACUGACUUGCCUACUUAAAUAAAGGUUCAAUUAAUAAAAAUAUUUGAAGAUGUAUUAUUUCAGUAAUUAUACUUUCUUCUAAUCCUGUCUUUUGUCUCUUCAAUAAUACUAUAAAUAGAAAGUCGAAUACUAAUUACAACAUUCCCUAUCUUGAAUGGAAUAGUGGAACAGUUGCUGUAGUUUAUUUGUUCAUCAAUUGUUGUAUUUUAUUGUUUUCCUAUUUUUUUGUAUUACAAUCCCUACCAUGGAUAGUAUUGUGUGUUCCAUUAUUCGACCCCUCUAUGGGAAUUUGUAAAUUGUCACGCCUUGGUCAUUGUAUUUUGUGUUUUCGUUAUAUAUUUGGUCAGGCCAGGGUGUGACAUGGGUUUAUAUAUUGUAUUUUCGUAUUGGGGUUUGUAGUAUUUGGGAUUGCGGCUGAGUAGGGGUGUUGUAUAGGCUUGGCUGCCUGAGGCGGUUCUCAGAGUCAGGUGAUUCUCGUUGUCUCUGAUUGGGAACCGUAUUUAGGUAGCCGGGGUUUCACUGUGUAUUUCGUGGGUGAUUGUUCCUGUCUCUGUGUAGUUUCACCAGAUAGGCUGUAAUUAGGUUUCACGUUCCGUUUGUUGUUUUUGUAUUUGUAUAGUUAUUUCAUGUGUCACUUUUUUCAUUAAAGUCAUGAGUAACCACCA